CUUAAAGGAAUUGACGGGGCCCGCACAAGCGGUGGAGCAUGUGGUUAAUUCGAAGCAACGCGAAGAACCUUACCAGGCCUUGACAUGCAGAGAACUUUCCAGAGAUGGAUUGGUGCCUUCGGGAACUCUGACACAGGUGCUGCAUGGCUGUCGUCAGCUCGUGCGUGAGAUGUUGGGUUAAGUCCCGUAACGAGCGCAACCCUUGUCCUUAGUUACCAGCACGUUAUGGUGGGCACUCUAAGGAGACUGCCGGUGACAAACCGGAGGAAGGUGGGGAUGACGUCAAGUCAUCAUGGCCCUUACGGCCUGGGCUACACACGUGCUACAAUGGUCGGUACAAAGGGUUGCCAAGCCGCGAGGUGGAGCUAAUCCCAUAAAACCGAUCGUAGUCCGGAUCGCAGUCUGCAACUCGACUGCGUGAAGUCGGAAUCGCUAGUAAUCGUGAAUCAGAAUGUCACGGUGAAUACGUUCCCGGGCCUU
This 480-nucleotide ribosomal RNA is filed under the name uncultured Pseudomonas sp. Its description in RNAcentral is "bacterial SSU rRNA". It matches the Rfam family "Bacterial small subunit ribosomal RNA", at positions 900 to 1382 of the family's 1533-position model. Lineage: Bacteria; Pseudomonadati; Pseudomonadota; Gammaproteobacteria; Pseudomonadales; Pseudomonadaceae. The record is from RNAcentral.